CCUACGGGAGACAGCAGUGGGGAAUAUUGGGCAAUGGGCGCAAGCCUGACCCAGCAACGCCGCGUGAAGGAAGAAGGCUUUCGGGUUGUAAACUUCUUUUAAGGGGGAAGAGCAGAAGACGGUACCCCUUGAAUAAGCCACGGCUAACUACGUGCCAGCAGCCGCGGUAAUACGUAGGUGGCAAGCGUUGUCCGGAUUUACUGGGUGUAAAGGGCGUGCAGCCGGAGAGACAAGUCAGAUGUGAAAUCCACGGGCUCAACCCGUGAACUGCAUUUGAAACUGUUUCCCUUGAGUGUCGGAGAGGUGAUCGGAAUUCCUUGUGUAGCGGUGAAAUGCGUAGAUAUAAGGAAGAACACCAGUGGCGAAGGCGGAUUACUGGACGAUAACUGACGGUGAGGCGCGAAAGCGUGGGGAGCAAACAGGAUUAGAUACCCCAGUAGUC
Molecule: ribosomal RNA, 442 nt
Filed under: uncultured bacterium
Lineage: Bacteria
Description: partial 16S ribosomal RNA
Rfam family: Bacterial small subunit ribosomal RNA
Source: RNAcentral